This 222-nucleotide long non-coding RNA is filed under the name Brassica napus (rape). RNAcentral describes it as "long non-coding RNA (BNAP_LNC003356)". Lineage: Eukaryota; Viridiplantae; Streptophyta; Magnoliopsida; Brassicales; Brassicaceae. The record is from RNAcentral.
UGCAAUUUAAAUAAAAAUAAAAAUAAAAUGAGCACGGAGCACAUCCAUGUUGAAGAGUUUUGAGCGGAGAAACGAAAUAAGGACAAUUUGAAUAAAAAGGCACAAACUCUUAUGGACCUACUUGCUUUAGAUCAAUGCUUCAAGCUUUCAACUCUCAACUCGGGUUGAUUUACAGGGUAUAUUGCGUCACUCCACACCACACGUUUUUGGGUCUUAACUCCA